RNAcentral lists this ribosomal RNA (2592 nucleotides) under Triticum aestivum (bread wheat). RNAcentral's name for it is "partial small subunit ribosomal RNA". The record is from RNAcentral. Lineage: Eukaryota; Viridiplantae; Streptophyta; Magnoliopsida; Poales; Poaceae.
AUGGUGAAUUUCACACAAGUGGAGCUCCGAGAAAUGAUGGGCAAGAAAAAUAACAUUCGUAAUGUGUCUCUUAUUGCCCAUCUGAGCCAUGGCAAGUCUACCCUUACAGAAUCUCUUGUGGCAGCUGCUGGGAUGAUUAGACAUGAAGGUGAUGUUGAAGUUCCCAUGGCUGACACUCAUGCGGAUGUAGCACAGCCUGCGAUGUCCAUCAGAUCUGCUGGCACUUCUCUUUUGUAUGAGAUGAACAAUGAAUCGUUCAAGUCUUACAAAGGUGAAAGAGAUGGCGACCAAUACCUGGUCAACCUUAUUGAUUCGCCUGGGCACACCGAUUUUUCUUCAGAAGUCACAACUGCUCUCCGUGUUACUGAUGGUGCUUUGUUGGUAAUUGAUGCAAUCGAGGGUGUCUGUAUGCAAACUGAAGCUGUUCUCUGCCAGGCCCUUAAUGAGAUGGUUAGACCUAUUCUUUGUGUCAACAAGAUGGACAAGUUAUUCCCUGACCUCCAAGUUGAAAGUGCAAACCCUGAAUCUGUAGGGCACAAGUUAUUUUCUGGGCUCCAAGAUGAAGGUGCAAAACCUGAAUCUAUGGGUGAGCGAGCCUACAAGAUUCUGUCAAAUGUCGUUGAAAAUUCCAAUGAAAUUAUGAAAGCACAUGGUGCUGAGCGCCUUGGUGAUGUCCAAGUCUACCCUGAGACCUCCUCUGUUGCCUUUGCUUCUGGUUUACAUGGUUGGGCAUUUACCAUCGCUAGCUUUGCUAAGAAGUAUGCCUUAAAAUGUGGAGUCGAUGAAACCAAAUUUGCAAAGAGGCUUUGGGGUGAUAAUUUUUAUGACUCUGCCAAAAAAAAAUGGACCAGGAAGAACAGUGGCUCCGACAAUUGUAUUAGAGGCUUCGUACGGUUCUGCUAUAAUCCAAUCGACACAGUUCUCAUGGCCUGCAUGAAUGACAAUAAGGGUGAAUUGUGGGAUCUUUGCCAGAAGCUUGAGGUGAGCUUGAGGGAUGAUGAGAAGGACCUAACAGGCAUGGCUCUUGUGAAGUGUGUCAUGCAAACUUGGCUCCCAGCCAGUACUGCUCUGCUUGAGAUGAUGAUCUGCCACCUCCCCUCUCCGUUAGAAGCACAGAAAUAUCGUGUGGAGAACCUGUAUGAGGGUCCCCUUGAUGAUAAAUACGCAGAAGCUAUUAAAAAGUGUGAUCCUGAAGGUCCUCUUAUGCUGUACGUUUCCAAGAUGGUCCCAGCAUCUGAUGUGGGCAGAUUUUUCGCGUUUGGUCGUGUCUUCUCCGGAAGGAUUGCAGCUGGCAUGAAGGUCCGGGUCAUGGGGCCUUCCUAUGUCCCCGGCAUGGAAACUGAUUUGCACGUGGAGUCUGUCCAGCGUACCAUUAUAUGGAUGGGAAAGAAGCAAUGUGACGUUCCGGAUGUUCCUUGCGGUAACACUGUUGGUUUGAUUGGUCUGGAUGCAUGCAUAACAAAGAGUGCUACCCUGACAAGCGAGAAGGAGGUUGUUGCACGCCCAAUCAGAGCGAUGAAGCUCUCUGUAUGCCCUCUGAUGUUUGUUACAAUUAACUGCAAGGUUCCGUCUGAGUCUCCCAAACUUGUACAAGGUUUGAAGCGUCUGGCGAUGUCUGAUCCCGUGGUUCUGUGGAGCAAGGUAGAGCCUGGUACUUACACAGUUGCUGGAGUGGGAGAACUUCAUCUGGAAAUUUGCUUGAAGGAUCUACAGGAAGAGUUUAUGGAUGGUGUUGAAGUUGUUUCCAGUCCGCCUGUUGUUUCCUUCCGUGAGACUAUCUGCAAGUCCUGUGAUCCUGUGGAGAGGAUGUCCAGAAACAAACAAAUCCAAUGCAGCUUGUCUGUGGUAGCCCGCCCCUUGGAUGAAAACCUAGUCGAGGCUAUUGAAGAUGGUCGCUUGGGUCCACGUACUGACCAUGCGGUACGAUCUGAGAUCCUUGCUAAGCAUGGUUGGGAUAAGGAUCUCGGUGAUAACAUUUGGUGCUUUGGUCCUGAUGCUGUUGGCCCGAAUGUGAUUGUUAAUAGGUGCAAUAAUAUAAUACAGAAUCUAGAGUUAGCGAAGAAAGUUAUCGUGGCUGGCUUCGAGAUGGUGGGAAAAGAAGGCGCAUUGGCAAAAGAAAAGUUGCAUGGCAUAUGCUUUGAGGUUCAUAAUGUUAAUAUACAUGCUGAUGAAGCUUUGAAAGGUACAACUGCUCAGCUCAAUAAAAUGGUUAGGACAGCACUUAUUGAGUCUCAGCUCGCCGCCAAACCAAGGCUUCUCGAACCCACCUACAUUGUGGCGAUCCAGUGCCCUAAGAGUGCCCUCAGCACUAUCUACGGAAUUCUCCACCAGAGGAAUGGUUCUGUGUAUGAGGAGUUUGUGAGAGAAGGCACGAUGCUACACAUCCUGAAGGCUUACGUUCCAGUUUAUGAUUCCUUUGGCCUCUCCAAGGCAAUCAGUGCUGCAACAUCUGAGCUGGUCACCCCGCAGUGUAUUUUUGGAUAUUGGAGCGACAUGUGCUCUGAUCCUUUCCAGGCAAAUGCGCCAGCCGGGCAAAUGGUCUUGGAUAUCCGCAAGAGGAAGAAGAUGGGCAGGCCCUCUUUCCAGAAGUAG